AGUGAACGCUGGCGGUAGGCCUAACACAUGCAAGUCGAACGGCAGCACAGUAAGAGCUUGCUCUUACGGGUGGCGAGUGGCGGACGGGUGAGGAAUACAUCGGAAUCUACUUUUUCGUGGGGGAUAACGUAGGGAAACUUACGCUCAUACCGCAUACGACCUACGGGUGAAAGCAGGGGAUCUUCGGACCUUGCGCGAUUGAAUGAGCCGAUGUCGGAUUAGCUAGUUGGCGGGGUAAAGGCCCACCAAGGCGACGAUCCGUAGCUGGUCUGAGAGGCUGAUCAGCCACCCUGGAACGGAGACACGGUCAAGACGCCUACGGGAGGCAGCAGUGGGGAAUAUUGGACAAUGGGCGCAAGCCUGAUCCAGCCAUACCGCGUGGGUGAAGAAGGCCUUCGGGUUGUAAAGCCCUUUUGUUGGGAAAGAAAAGCAGCAGGUUAAUACCCCGCUGUUCUGACGGUACCCAAAGAAGAAGCACCGGCUAACUUCGUG
RNAcentral lists this ribosomal RNA (492 nucleotides) under uncultured bacterium. RNAcentral's name for it is "partial 16S ribosomal RNA". It matches the Rfam family "Bacterial small subunit ribosomal RNA", at positions 29 to 507 of the family's 1533-position model. The record is from RNAcentral.